This is an RNA transcript of Phragmites australis (common reed), 2771 nucleotides long. It is a transcript of the gene named protein SUPPRESSOR OF FRI 4-like, with no coding region annotated. The record is from RefSeq and is a predicted model, not a curated record. The transcript has 7 exons. NCBI's taxonomy places the organism in Eukaryota, Viridiplantae, Streptophyta, Magnoliopsida, Poales, Poaceae.
CCGACCAGACGACUAGUAUCCUCGCCUUCCUCUUCCUCCCGUCCCCCACCCGCGCGUGCCGCGACCUCGCCGAAACCCUAAACCUAGGUGAUCUCGCCGGAGAGACGGAGGGAUGGGCAAGAAGAAGAAGCGCGUGGAGAAGGUCUUCUGCUACUACUGCGACCGCGAGUUCGACGACGAGAAGAUUCUAGUGCAGCACCAGAAGGCCAAGCACUUCAAGUGCCACGUCUGCCAUAAGAAGCUCUCCACCGCCUCCGGCAUGGCCAUACACGUCCUACAGGUCCACAAGGAGUCCGUCACCAAGGUUCCUAAUGCGAAGCCUGAUAGGGAAUCAACAGAGAUUGAGAUAUUUGGAAUGCAGGGGAUUCCUCCAGAUGUGCUGGCUGCUCACUAUGGAGAAGAGGAAGAUCCUUCAUCGAAGGUAGCCAAGGUGGAAGUGCCACAGGUAAGGCCUGUUGUUAUACCUAAUCCGCUAGGCAUGGCAUUUCCUCCACGGCCAGCUUAUGGUUUAGCACCUCCAAUCUAUAAUCGCGCACUGAAUCCUUUGAUGGCCCGACCUCCAGUUUGGCCUGCUCCACCAGCACAAGCUUGGUAUCCACAACAAUCAGCAUAUCCACAACAACCAGCUGUUUCGAUUCCUCCAAUGGCUGCUGGGCUGCCACCACAACAGCCACUAUUCCCCAUUCAGAAUGUGCUUACUCCUAUGACAUCAGCACCAGCUAAUGUACUUCAGACAUCAUUUCCUAUGGCCCCUCCUGGAGUACCUUCACCUGUUGCCCCUCAAGUUUCCCAGCUUUUGUUUCCUGUUAACACUUCCGCUGUCAAUGGAGCAGCAAGUUCCCCAUUUGUAGCAUCCGUUGCACCUGGCACCAUACCAGCAACCUCUCCAGCAUCAGUUCCUGCUGCAGGAGUUGGAUAUGGAGUCAAUAACCAAGGCACAGGAGGUUCAGCGGUUGGAUCUCUACCCGCUGUAUCCAAUAAUAAAGUGUCCGGUACCCAACCAGCUACAAAUGAGGUCUAUCUGGUGUGGGGUGAUGAAGCAAUGUCAAUGGAGGAAAGAAGGUUUUCGUUGCCCAAGUAUCAGGUGCAUGAUGAAACUAGCCAGGUAAGUUUUGCUAUUACUGUUUUUACUAUUAUUUGUCUUAAGCAAUGAAGUGCAAAUAUCUUUUAAAGGUCUUAACUGCCAAACCUUUUGUUGUUACUUAAACAAAAAUGUUUGAUUACGCGGUCUGCGCUGAGUGAUAGUGACAGGAUCUUUUGAUGCUUCCAUCCAAUUAAUGCCUUGGUGUAUGCAUGAUAAUUGCAUCAUCUUUGGUGCUGUGCUGGUUUAGGCUUUCAUGCUAAAGCAAUAGGACAAAGUUUAAUAUUAGGCCAUUGCAGCAUUUAAAUGUGUUUCUGCUAUCCAAAACUUAGACUUUGAGGGGUGGUCUUCAUUAUAUAUUCUGUCUCAACUUACUUGGGACAAAAGACUCUGUUGUGGUGGUGGUGGUGGAUUACCUCAGUUUGCUGGUGGUGGUGGAUUACCUCAGUUUGCAUUCACUAACAUUAAAAGCCAUACAUUUUGCAUCAUAUGCUUGUGCAUAUGGAGUGUGCGAACAGCCUGGCAUGUUUCACUACUCUUAACUUGUAUGUGGUAUAUGAACUUGCCCCUUCUUUUCUUGGUAUCUACUAUGGACACAACAAAUGUAACUCAGCAUUUGGUAAUGUAAACAAUUCUUGUGAGACUAUUAUGUAAGUGUGCACUUAAAAAUAGUAUCUCAGUUUACAACCAAUUCUUAUGUGUUCUGUGAAUCCAAUUUCCACUUUCGUUUCUGGUUUAGAAUUUAGACUUUUGGCACAACGUACUGAAUCGUGAACUUUAGUCACAACACAAGGGCAUGUAAUCUGUCGGGAAUAUGAAAUAGGCUCAUCCAGUCGUUGCAUAUGUGAGAUGAUUCCUAUUCUGUGCUACUUUUUACAUUUCCAUAAUGUCUCCUUGGUGUUUAUUUGAUUGACCAUAUAUUUCCUGCUGCUUUCGCGCACAUCAGGAGUUCCAAGUAGGUAUUUACAUCGUUCUUGCUACUAGUAAGUUUCUUAUAAUCUGACAAAUCUCGUGGUGAUAUGCUAAUGACUUGAGGGUUUUCGUGUUAUCAACCAAGCCCUGGACAGUUCACAAAUAUGUAUGUAUUUAUUUCAGUUGAAGCAUUAUUUCUAUUCAUUACCAAUUCACUGCAUGCAAAUAUGGGUUUGUAACAAAAACUAGGUGGCUGAGGUUCUGCCAAUAUGGUAGCAUUUAUGUAACUUAAAUUUGGUCGAGAAUGUGCCCAGAGUUUUGUUCCAGAUGCACUCUGUCGACGCAGCAAUCGAUCGAAGAAUAUCAGAAAGUCGGCUUGCUGGACACAUGGCCCUAUGAACAAGCUGGGCCUUACUUGGACGGUACCCCCUGCAGUUUGCCGAUGGACUCACCUGCGCGUGUAUCGCAGUACAGCAAUCGGUCCUGUUCUUCAUUUAGUUAGUGAGUGGAGUUACUGCAGUUAAAAGAAAUGUUGAUCUGACUUGGAGAGUGUUUAGCAUUUGUUCUUCUAUCUUUCCAGAUGCGCGAAGAAAAAAAUGUUAGUCCUUAGAAAUUAUUUGGUCCAUUUGUCACAACACUGGGAUUCUGAUGGUGAAUUACGGCAAUUUGCUGCCGAUUGUAGCCUGAUUUGUGUUCAAUGUUAGGAAAGCAAACUGAAAAAAUGUGACCGCUUUUAAUAAUUUUGUUGUAAGGAUACAGUCUGGGAAGUUUCUUUCUA